This 294-nucleotide RNase P RNA is filed under the name Candidatus Daviesbacteria bacterium RIFCSPLOWO2_02_FULL_36_8. RNAcentral describes it as "RNase P RNA component class A". It matches the Rfam family "Bacterial RNase P class A". From Rfam's summary of the family: Ribonuclease P (RNase P) is a ubiquitous endoribonuclease, found in archaea, bacteria and eukarya as well as chloroplasts and mitochondria. Its best characterised activity is the generation of mature 5'-ends of tRNAs by cleaving the 5'-leader elements of precursor-tRNAs. Lineage: Bacteria; Candidatus Daviesiibacteriota. The record is from RNAcentral.
CUAGGAAGAAGGAUGAUUACUCCGCGAAACCGCAAGGCGAAGUGGAGAGGAAAGUCCAGACAGCAUAGAGUAGGGUGUUCGCCGUAAGGCGGAUCGGGUAACCGCAAGUUAGAGCAACAGUGACGAACCGAGGUCAUGCUCGGGUGAAACGGGCAAUCCUCCUCGCUGCAAUCCUAGAACCGAAAGAGCUACUCGCUCAAUUUUCGAAAUCAGGAGCAUUAGAUGAGGCAUAGCCUCUCUUACAGAUAAAUUAUCAUCGAGAAACAGAAUCUGGCUUACUAUCUUCCUAGGCAC